This 465-nucleotide ribosomal RNA is filed under the name Vreelandella stevensii. Its description in RNAcentral is "partial 16S ribosomal RNA". It matches the Rfam family "Bacterial small subunit ribosomal RNA", at positions 338 to 795 of the family's 1533-position model. Lineage: Bacteria; Pseudomonadati; Pseudomonadota; Gammaproteobacteria; Oceanospirillales; Halomonadaceae. The record is from RNAcentral.
CCUACGGGGGGCAGCAGUGGGGAAUAUUGGACAAUGGGGGCAACCCUGAUCCAGCCAUGCCGCGUGUGUGAAGAAGGCCCUCGGGUUGUAAAGCACUUUCAGUGAGGAAGAACGCCUGGUGGUUAAUACCCAUCAGGAAAGACAUCACUCACAGAAGAAGCACCGGCUAACUCCGUGCCAGCAGCCGCGGUAAUACGGAGGGUGCGAGCGUUAAUCGGAAUUACUGGGCGUAAAGCGCGCGUAGGUGGCUUGAUAAGCCGGUUGUGAAAGCCCCGGGCUCAACCUGGGAACGGCAUCCGGAACUGUCAAGCUAGAGUGCAGGAGAGGAAGGUAGAAUUCCCGGUGUAGCGGUGAAAUGCGUAGAGAUCGGGAGGAAUACCAGUGGCGAAGGCGGCCUUCUGGACUGACACUGACACUGAGGUGCGAAAGCGUGGGUAGCGAACAGGAUUAGAUACCCCUGUAGUC